AAACACUACAGACAGUGAUUGCCAAGAUCCUCACUAUCAAGAUGAAAAUUUGUAAGGGCACCUGAGUAAUCUUGAUUUACUGACAAACUCCCCCAUAGAUUAAGAUUUGGGAUUUUGCAGUUAUGAAAGAAGUGUGACUAUCCUUAUGACUGUAAACAUUCCCGAUCAGCUUUUCUUUUUUUCCUUUGCCUUUCCCUGACUUCUCAAGUUCUUAGUAUAUUUUUUUAGAGAGGCAACAUAGUGUGGUUGUAAAUGGGUGGCUUCAAAGUUAGAAGUUCUGGGUUCAAACCUAGUUAUAACAUAUAAUGAGAAUAUUGGUUAAGUAACUUAUUUUCUAAGAAUUUAAGUUUCUAAAUCUAUCAUGGUAGUUCUCUAAAAGGUUAAGAUAAUAAGAAAUGACACAUGAAAAUACAUAUGAAUGUUCUCCCUUUUAUUAGGAAAAUUUCAGAUUCCUGGUAAUUUGAAACAAGUAUUUGGUAAUGAUAAAAUUGAAUUCAUUUUUAAUUUGCAGUUUUCAGUCUUGUGCAUGGGAGGAAUAGUUGCCCUACAGUAUUGCUAUGGUUUUCUAAAUGAAGUUGUGGGCACAUUGUUGCUUUCAUGAUUUUGUGCUAGGCUAUACAAUGGCUGUGUAAACAAAGUCAGUUACAACAUUCAUGCAGAGUACAUUAAGUCAUUCAGUAACCUUCCCCAGAUCAGUUGUAGGUUUGUUUGUUUUCACCCUGUGCUUCCUAGCUAUCAUUGGUUUAAACUUGGGAAAGUCACUGUUAAAAUUAAUGUCUAGCAUCAUACAUAAGUCUUAUUAAAGUGACAAAAGUACUCUUUCUUUCCCUGAAGGGGUGCUUUACAAGUAGUAGAAUUAGGGUCACAACUUAAGAUCUUUUUUUUUCUUUCAAUUAAGAAUGCUUCU
Molecule: long non-coding RNA, 907 nt
Filed under: Mus musculus (house mouse)
Lineage: Eukaryota; Metazoa; Chordata; Mammalia; Rodentia; Muridae
Description: long non-coding RNA chr18:10327895-10328802
Source: RNAcentral